RNAcentral lists this ribosomal RNA (279 nucleotides) under uncultured bacterium. RNAcentral's name for it is "partial 16S ribosomal RNA". It matches the Rfam family "Bacterial small subunit ribosomal RNA", at positions 506 to 784 of the family's 1533-position model. The record is from RNAcentral.
UGCCAGCAGCCGCGGUAAUACAGAGGGUGCAAGCGUUAAUCGGACUGACUGGGCGUAAAGGGUGCGUAGGUGGAUGAGUAAGUUAGAUGUGAAAAGCCCGGGCUUAACCUGGGUCUGUCAUUUAAUACUGCUUAUCUAGAGUUUGGGAGAGGGUAGAGGAAUUUCCGGUGUAGCGGUGAAAUGCGUAGAGAUCGGAAGGAACACCAUUUGCGAAGGCAUCUACCUGGCCCAAAACUGACACUGAGUCACGAAAGCGUGGGUAGCGAACAGGAUUAGAUA